This 425-nucleotide ribosomal RNA is filed under the name uncultured bacterium. RNAcentral describes it as "bacterial SSU rRNA". It matches the Rfam family "Bacterial small subunit ribosomal RNA", at positions 355 to 772 of the family's 1533-position model. The record is from RNAcentral.
UGGGGAAUCUUGCGCAAUGCGCGAAAGCGUGACGCAGCAACGCCGCGUGUGGGAAGACGGCCUUCGGGUUGUAAACCACUUUCAGUUGGGACGAAGGUUCACGGGUUAAUAGCCCGCUGGACUGACGGUACCUUCACAAGAAGCCCCGGCUAACUACGUGCCAGCAGCCGCGGUAAUACGUAGGGGGCAAGCGUUGUCCGGAAUCAUUGGGCGUAAAGCGCGUGUAGGCGGCUCGGUAAGUCCGCUCUGAAAGUCCAGGGCUCAACCCUGGGAUGCGGGUGGAUACUGCCGGGCUCGAGUCCGGAAGAGGCGAGUGGAAUUCCUGGUGUAGCGGUGAAAUGCGCAGAUAUCAGGAGGAACACCAAUGGCGAAGGCAGCUCGCUGGGACGUGACUGACGCUGAGACGCGAAAGCUAGGGGAGCAAA